ACUUAAAUUGAAGAGUUUGAUCAUGGCUCAGAUUGAACGCUGGCGGCAGGCCUAACACAUGCAAGUCGAGCGGCAGCGGGAAAGUAGCUUGCUACUUUUGCCGGCGAGCGGCGGACGGGUGAGUAAUGCCUGGGGAUCU
This 139-nucleotide ribosomal RNA is filed under the name Aeromonas veronii. RNAcentral describes it as "partial 16S ribosomal RNA". It matches the Rfam family "Bacterial small subunit ribosomal RNA", at positions 1 to 127 of the family's 1533-position model. Lineage: Bacteria; Pseudomonadati; Pseudomonadota; Gammaproteobacteria; Aeromonadales; Aeromonadaceae. The record is from RNAcentral.